Molecule: ribosomal RNA, 795 nt
Filed under: bacterium enrichment culture clone BH62
Lineage: Bacteria
Description: bacterial SSU rRNA
Rfam family: Bacterial small subunit ribosomal RNA
Source: RNAcentral
UGCAAGUUGAGCGGCAAGGAGGAGAGAUCCUCCCUAGAGCGGCGGACUGGUGAGUAACGCGUGGGUAAUCUAUCUUAGGCAUGGGGAUAGUCACUAGAAAUAGUGGGUAAUACCGAAUAAGUUCCAUAAGGGGAGGACUUAUGGAAGAAAGGUGCUACGGCACUGGCCUUAGGUGAGCUCGCGUCCCAUUAGCUAGUUGGUGAGGUAAAGGCCCACCAAGGCGAUGAUGGGUAGCCGGCCUGAGAGGGUGUACGGCCACACUGGGACUGAGAUACGGCCCAGACUCCUACGGGAGGCAGCAGCUAAGAAUAUUCCGCAAUGGACGGAAGUCUGACGGAGCGACGCCGCGUGGAUGAAGAAGGCCGAAAGGUUGUAAAGUUCUUUUGCUAGGGGAGAAUAAGUGUGGGAGGGAAUGCCUGCACGAUGACAAGGACUAGCGAAUAAGUCCCGGCCAACUACGUGCCAGCAGCCGCGGUAACACGUAGGGGGCGAGCGUUGUUCGGAAUUACUGGGCGUAAAGGGCAUGUAGGCGGCUUGGUAAGCCUGGCGUGAAAGUCUGCAGCUUAACUGUAGGGAUGCGUUGGGAACUGCUUAGCUUGAGUUACGGAGAGGGAGCUGGAAUUCCUGGUGUAGGGGUGAAAUCUGUAGAUAUCAGGAAGAACACCGAUGGCGAAGGCAAGCUUCUGGCCGACAACUGACGCUGAGGUGCGAAAGUGUGGGGAUCAAACAGGAUUAGAUACCCUGGUAGUCCACACAGUAAACGAUGUGCACGAGGUGCUGGGGCGGUAGUUUCAG